GUCUCACAGUUUGAUCCUGGCUCAGAUUGAACGCUGGCGGCAUGCUUUACACAUGCAAGUCGAACGGCAGCACGGGGGCAACCCUGGUGGCGAGUGGCGAACGGGUGAGUAAUGCAUCGGAACGUAUCUUCAAGUGGGGGAUAACGCACCGAAAGGUGUGCUAAUACCGCAUAAUCUCUACGGAGAAAAGCAGGGGAUCGCAAGACCUUGCGCUUUUAGAGCGGCCGAUGUCUGAUUAGCUAGUUGGUGAGGUAAAGGCUUACCAAGGCGUCGAUCAGUAGCUGGUCUGAGAGGACGACCAGCCACACUGGGACUGAGACACGGCCCAGACUCC
RNAcentral lists this ribosomal RNA (334 nucleotides) under uncultured bacterium. RNAcentral's name for it is "bacterial SSU rRNA". It matches the Rfam family "Bacterial small subunit ribosomal RNA", at positions 1 to 339 of the family's 1533-position model. The record is from RNAcentral.